UCUGUCACCCUCAAAAACAAGUAAACAUUAAAAAAAAAAUUUUUUUUAAAUACAUCAGUUCAGUUCACUUUAUGUGUACCCUUUCUCAGAGAGCUACUGGAAUAAGUGCUCCAACAAAAUGGUAGAAAAAAUCAAGAAGACAUGGGAUAGAAGAAACAAGACCCAUCAUGACAGAGGCAAAUUCUUAGUGUUGUAAAGCACCGCCCUGGGUUUAAAGCUGUUUUCCUCCCUCAUUUUUCUCACCUGUAAACCAGUGAGUUAGGGUGGGGUGGGGGGAGGGGUGACGAUAAACUUCAUAGGGUUACUGCCAAGAUGAGGUGAUUAACAAUUGCAAAGUUUUGCAACCGGCUAAGUGCAUUGGGCGUUAUUUUCUAAGUGCGUGGCAUAUGAAGCAGCUCAUUUAAUCUUCAAAUUAUAAACAUUAUCAUCUCAUUUUCCAGAUGAGGAGACAGAAGCACACAGAUUGAGUAACUUGCUCAGGAUCCUAGUUAGUGGCGGAGCUGAUACGCUAAUUCAGGUGAUCUGGCUCCAAAGACAGUGCUCCUAACAACCAGUCUGUACCGAAACGAAUGAAACACGAUGCGCUCAGUAGACGUUAUGUGUAUGUCUACACAGUGUGCGCCAGUCCGGACAAAGAAGAAUCUCUGUGAGGAUUCACUGAAGGUCAGAAAUCUUCACUGAAACUAUUGCAUCAAUACUGACGGAGAUCAAGAUCAAUAAUGAAAGAGCAACAACAUAAGAAUGAAAACAUUUCUAUGUGAAUUUCAGCAGGAACCCACAUAUUAUCAUGAUGUAUGAAGUUUCCCAUUCGCCUUUCACAGUAAGGACACACAGAUGUGCCUCCUGAUCAUGAUGUGUGCCAGGAGGACAGUGCCCACCAACAUUCCAGAUGUUAACUUCUCUACUAUUGUGGCACUCUUGCCAAUUUCCUACCAUCCCUUCUGUUAUUAGUUGAAAUUGUGGCCCCCGUAAAAAGGUAUGUUGGAAUCCUAACCCCCAGCACCUCAGAAUGUGACCUUUUUUGGAGACAGGAUUUUUUCAGAGGUAACAAUUUAAAAUGAGGCCGUUAAGUUAGACUCUAAUCGAAUAUGGUGUGGUGUCCUUAUGAAGA
Leopardus geoffroyi (Geoffroy's cat) is the source of this 1111-nucleotide long non-coding RNA. RefSeq lists it as uncharacterized. The transcript is spliced from 4 exons. The record is from RefSeq and is a predicted model, not a curated record. NCBI's taxonomy places the organism in Eukaryota, Metazoa, Chordata, Mammalia, Carnivora, Felidae.